This is a long non-coding RNA of Rhodamnia argentea, 234 nucleotides long. RefSeq lists it as uncharacterized. The transcript has 3 exons. The record is from RefSeq and is a predicted model, not a curated record. Lineage: Eukaryota; Viridiplantae; Streptophyta; Magnoliopsida; Myrtales; Myrtaceae.
UGAAAUUGGCUCUUCUUCAACGAUGCUCAAUAAAGCUCCAGAUCCUAGAGUUAUCAAGCUUGAUUGGAGAUUCUACCCUACCACAAGAGCUAUAAGCAAUGGGCAAGACUAGAGAAGGGAAGGCCAAGCAUUUUAGAUGGUCGGUUCCAAUGGAGCGUAUGUUUUUAGAGAUACUAGCUGAUGAAGCUUUAAAGGGGAACAAACCUUCAGCCACCUUUAAACCAUCUUCGUUUG